GUGGGGAAUAUUGGACAAUGGGCGCAAGCCUGAUCCAGCCAUGCCGCGUGAGUGAAGAAGGCCUUAGGGUUGUAAAACUCUUUCAGCGGGGAAGAUAAUGACGGUACCCGCAGAAGAAGCCCCGGCUAACUCCGUGCCAGCAGCCGCGGUAAUACGGAGGGGGCUAGCGUUGUUCGGAAUUACUGGGCGUAAAGCGCGCGUAGGCGGUCCGCGUAGUCAGGCGUGAAAGCCCCGGGCUCAACCUGGGAACUGCGUUUGAUACUGGCGGACUAGAGUCCGGGAGAGGGUAGUGGAAUUCCCAGUGUAGAGGUGAAAUUCGUAGAUAUUGGGAAGAACACCAGUGGCGAAGGCGGCUACCUGGACCGGUACUGACGCUGAGGUGCGAAAGCGUGGGGAGCAAACAGG
RNAcentral lists this ribosomal RNA (405 nucleotides) under uncultured bacterium. Its description in RNAcentral is "bacterial SSU rRNA". It matches the Rfam family "Bacterial small subunit ribosomal RNA", at positions 354 to 776 of the family's 1533-position model. The record is from RNAcentral.